CAGUAGCCGCGGGAAUACGUAGGUGGCAAGCGUUGUCCGGAAUUAUUGGGCGUAAAGGGCUCGCAGGCGGUUUCUUAAGUCUGAUGUGAAAGCCCCCGGCUCAACCGGGGAGGGUCAUUGGAAACUGGGAAAUUUGAGUGCAGAAGAGGAGAGUGGAAUUCCACGUGUAGCGGUGAAAUGCGUAGAGAUGUGGAGGAACACCAGUGGCGAAGGCGACUCUCUGGUCUGUAACUGACGCUGAGGAGCGAAAGCGUGGGGAGCGAACAGGAUUAGAUACCCCCGUAGUCCCUGUCUCUUAUAC
RNAcentral lists this ribosomal RNA (301 nucleotides) under uncultured bacterium. RNAcentral's name for it is "partial 16S ribosomal RNA". It matches the Rfam family "Bacterial small subunit ribosomal RNA", at positions 509 to 807 of the family's 1533-position model. The record is from RNAcentral.